RNAcentral lists this ribosomal RNA (586 nucleotides) under uncultured bacterium. RNAcentral describes it as "partial 16S ribosomal RNA". It matches the Rfam family "Bacterial small subunit ribosomal RNA", at positions 355 to 1375 of the family's 1533-position model. The record is from RNAcentral.
UGGGGAAUUUUGGACAAUGGGCGAAAGCCUGAUCCAGCAAUGCCGCGUGUGUGAAGAAGGCCUUCGGGUUGUAAAGCACUUUUGUCCGGAAAGAAAUCCUUGGCUCUAAUACAGUCGGGGGAUGACGGUACCGGAAGAAUAAGCACCGGCUAACUACGUGCCAGCAGCCGCGGUAAUACGUAGGGUGCAAGCGUUAAUCGGAAUUACUGGGCGUAAAGCGUGCGCAGGCGGUUUGCUAAGACCGAUGUGAAAUCCCCGGGCUCAACCUGGGAACUGCAUUGGUGACUGGCAGGCUAGAGUAUGGCAGAGGGGGGUAGAAUUCCACGUGUAGCAGUGAAAUGCGUAGAGAUGUGGAGGAAUACCGAUGGCGAAGGCAGCCCCCUGGGCCAAUACUGACGCUCAUGCACGAAAGGCGUGGGGGAGCAAACAGGAUUAGAUACCCUGGUAGUCCACGCCCUAAACGAUGUCAACUAGUUGUUGGGGAUUCAUUUCCUUAGUAACGUAGCUAACGCGUGAAGUUGACCGCCUGGGGAGUACGGUCGCAAGAUUAAAACUCAAUGAAUUGACGGGGUCAUAGCUGUUUCCU